UACGUAGGCAGCAAGCGUUGUUCGGAGUUACUGGGCGUAAAGAGUGCGUAGGUGGUGCCCCAAGUCUGUUGUGAAAUCUCCCGGCUUAACUGGGAGGGUGCGGUGGAAACUGGGGUGCUUGAGUGUGGGAGAGGUAAGCGGAAUUCCUGGUGUAGCGGUGAAAUGCGUAGAUAUCAGGAGGAACACCGGUGGUGUAGACGGCUUACUGGACCACGACUGACACUGAGGAGCGAAAGCCAGGGGAGCAAACGGG
Molecule: ribosomal RNA, 253 nt
Filed under: uncultured bacterium
Lineage: Bacteria
Description: partial 16S ribosomal RNA
Rfam family: Bacterial small subunit ribosomal RNA
Source: RNAcentral